CGCUGAAGGCAUCUAAGCGUGAAGCCCCCCUUAAGAUGAGAUAUCCCAUUCGAAAGAAGUAAACCCCCUUGAAGACGACGAGGUAGAUAGGGCAGAGGUGGAAGUGCAGUAAUGCAUGGAGCUGACUGUUACUAAUCGGGUGAGGGCUUGACCAAG
RNAcentral lists this ribosomal RNA (156 nucleotides) under Ruminococcus sp. TF06-23. RNAcentral describes it as "partial 23S ribosomal RNA". It matches the Rfam family "Bacterial large subunit ribosomal RNA", at positions 2769 to 2925 of the family's 2925-position model. The record is from RNAcentral. Lineage: Bacteria; Bacillati; Bacillota; Clostridia; Eubacteriales; Oscillospiraceae.